UGACGAUGAAGAGACCACAUCUGCUGUGACAGAAGUGGACAAUGCUGGUAGAUCCACUGAGUACAUACCUAGGGGUUUGCCCACAGAUGAGGGUCCUUCAACCUCAGCACACAAUCUAAGCAGGGUAACAAUUUGUGUCCAGGUGUCCAUAUUUUAAUUAUAUUGUCUGACCAAACAAUCUCAUUUAUUAAUUUUUUUCCACCUUCCUAGUUGCCAGCAAAGGAGCUGUAUAAGGUCCAUCUUCAAAAACAAAUAAGGAAAAGUGACAUGGAGAUGGACCUUAUACAGCUUCAAAUGGAAGAGAAAAGGCUCCUCGUUAAAAAAGCAGCACUUGAAAUUGAAUUACUAGACCAUCGCCCUAAGGAGAGAACUUGUCUGAAUAUUCUGUCAGAACAAUCUGUUGCAUGAUAAAAGUGUUGGGUG
Long non-coding RNA from Puntigrus tetrazona (Sumatra barb), 423 nucleotides. RefSeq lists it as uncharacterized. NCBI's taxonomy places the organism in Eukaryota, Metazoa, Chordata, Actinopteri, Cypriniformes, Cyprinidae. The transcript is spliced from 2 exons. The record is from RefSeq and is a predicted model, not a curated record.